CACACCGCCCGUCACAUCACGAAAGCCAGUUGUACUAGAAGCCGGUAAUUCAACCGCAGGGAGAUAGCCGUCCAAGGUAUGACUGGUGAUUGGGGUG
Molecule: ribosomal RNA, 97 nt
Filed under: uncultured bacterium
Lineage: Bacteria
Description: partial 16S ribosomal RNA
Rfam family: Bacterial small subunit ribosomal RNA
Source: RNAcentral